Long non-coding RNA from Cucurbita maxima (winter squash), 467 nucleotides. RefSeq lists it as uncharacterized. Lineage: Eukaryota; Viridiplantae; Streptophyta; Magnoliopsida; Cucurbitales; Cucurbitaceae. The transcript has 3 exons. The record is from RefSeq and is a predicted model, not a curated record.
UUUAUUAUUAUUAUUAUUCUGAUUUGUUUUAGCAGAACAUAUUCAAAGUAGGAAAAUACCCCACCAUCCCUUUAAUUUAAUCCCAAUACCAAAAAUCAUUGCUUUAGUCAUUGUCGUCUCAAAACCUUAUAAUUGUUCUUGUUUUGUAAUUUACUUAUAUUCUCACUGAUUUCCAUAUCUCAUUUAUCAUUUGUUUUCAGCCUAAUCUAAUCAUAUCAUCAACUUGGAAAAAGGUCCUUAUGAACUGAACAAACCACAACGGACGGGCGGCCCAGGUUUGAAGGUUGACUGCAGAAAAACCGAAGCUUAGUUUGAAAAUCUGAUGCCGUAUACACAUUGACUAUGUUAUUUUUGUCAGAAGAAGAAGAAGAAAUAAAAGGUGAACGAACAACAAAUGCAAUAGGGACCUCACCGGCUUUAUCAUCAGGAUAUCUGCAGGUGGAAAUUCAUGGCAGAGGUUAACAAGA